Oreochromis aureus is the source of this 2584-nucleotide long non-coding RNA. NCBI's taxonomy places the organism in Eukaryota, Metazoa, Chordata, Actinopteri, Cichliformes, Cichlidae. The record is from Ensembl.
GAGCAAAGUACAGCACAACAUAGUAGGUUUUGUAAUAGCGUGCCUCUAAAUGCCAGGUAUUUCAGAUGUCAGGGAAAACAGCAGUUGACAGCUAUCCGCCAUGCCUGCAACACACCGGGCUUUUGCUCUCAUCUCUCUGCUGUCCUUCAGCGCAGCAGCACCAACAGUAGACGACUGCAAUCAGCUGACCCAGCCUCUGCAAGCUAACGAGCUUCACCAGUUUCAUAAGAAAACAGUUGCAGUGACAUACAGAGAUCCUGGGUAGGUGGAUCUUUAUUCAGGGGCUUGCCAGUAACGGUAGCUUGGGAGACAGUUUGAGGUUUGUGGAAAGUACGUGGAUGGUGCUGAAUACAACAUCAGACAGUCGGACCCUGCAGGCAGAGAUAGCUGGCCGAGUGGUUCAACAGCUGGACGAGUCUGUUCAGCCACAAGUUCCAAAGAUGGAGGACGCCUCCAUCCCGACCAAUUCCCAGGGACCUGAGCUUUCUUCAAACCCUAGCUCCCACCCUGUCAGCAGUUCCACACCCCAUCUGGUCAUGAAGGAGGAUCGCUGCCUCAGGAAUGUUCAGAACAUGUCCCUAGUUGAUGGCAAAGACUUAGAGUUCUACAUGAAAAUUGCCAGUUCCUAUCACAGGUUCCUGCAGACCUGCCCUGACUGUCUGCUCAUGCAUACCUACUAUAAAGUAGCCAGUCACCAAAUGUUCUACUUGUUUGGGAGGAACAAGACCGUGACAGCUUCUGAUUUAGAGACCUUCAGAAAACAAGGUGAAUGCCUCAGGUUUCCCACGACACCAAAGUUUAACUACGACCCUAACAAUGAACUGUGUCCUGUGGAGGAAAAGAAGUCAGAAUCCACACCUCAACAAAACCUCCACUAACAGAGUUCUUAAUAACACUGCCACUGCUAUCGUCAAACUUACGCUGUUGAUUGGUUUUUACUCAUGAUUUAAUUGAGAGAAAUUUGAGAAGUUUGAAUGUCCAAACUGUUAAGUGCUUUUCUAAAAAAUUUUGGUUCAGGUUUUGACCCGCCUACUAGACUCUAUGUGAUUCCUGAUAGCUUAGCCAACAUGAAUGGGACAGGAAAUUUAUGUUUACUUCAGUGUCAUAUCCAUCCAUCCACCCAUCCGAAGCUUAGAUGGUCAGCUUGAUAUCUAAAAAACUGAGUUAAUUAUAAACAAGUGUUUAUCUUGGUAGAUUUUAUGCACAGAUUAAAGUUUUUUUUUAAAAAGGCAUUUAAUGCUAUUUUAACCCAAAUUUACACCAUUAGUCAACUGCAUAAACCACUUUCAUAAGGGAGGAAUGGUUUGCACACUUGAUCAAUGCUCACCCAUUGGCUGGGAGCCAGAGAGGGAUCUGCCUGAGAAAUUGAUCAAGUGAUUGUAUGACUAGCUACAGUUAUAUAGCAGUAACCUGACAAUCAAGCUGAAAGCAUAUGCUGCUUUACUGUCCAUUUAGACUGUAAUGGGUUAUUUUGUUAUACAUCACAAAAUAACCAUGACGUAAACUGUCUUCACUAAUACCUGAAACCAGAAAAUCAAAUAAUAAACUCCAAAUAAAUGAUAAAAUCUGAAAAGUGUUUCUGACAUCAGUGGUCAUGGAAGCCAAAGGCAAGACAACUGGCCGUUUCUUUGGAACGACAGCAGUUGCACCACAUUGGUCAUUACAAAUACUUCAAAUUUAUACAUGAUUUUUUCCUGAUAUUCUAACCAUGUGUUUGGUCAAAAUAUUUUGAGACAAGAAUCUGUCAGAACUUUUGUAAUUAUAUUUCUCUCUUAUUGUGUUUUGUUUCACCAGUGCAUGUGUGAUUUUUUUCCCCCUGUGCAUUUCCAAACCGAUGGUUAAAGUGGCCGGUAUUGUCAACUAACUCUUCUGGCUCUCUUGCUUCUUUCGUGUUUGGCAUUUUUUACCAUUAUUUUUUAAAAAUAUCAAGAGCUAAUAGAAAUCAGAUGAGUAAACAGCAGAGAGCAAUCAGGAUCAUCUGUUUAUCAAGACACUGGAUCAUCCUCCAAAUUAAGGCCGUUACUGGUGCCGACUGCAGCCCCAUCGUAUUCAAAGGCCUCGUCUCUUUGAACGCCACAGAACUGACCGUUUGGACUUUGCAAGAGAGAAAGAAAGUUUUAUUCUCUGAUGAGAAAAAAUGUAACCUUGAUGGUCCUGAUGGUUUCCAAUGUUACUGGCAUGACAAGUAGAUAUUUUCUAUGCUCCACAGUGGAGGGGGCACCAUAAUGGUCUGGGGUGCUUUUUCCUUCAGUGGAACAAUAAAGUUAAAGGAGGUGCAGGGGCGUCAAACAGCUGCUGGCUAUGUCCAGAUGUUGCAGAGAGCAUCCGUUAUGACUGAGGGCCCUCGUCUGCGUGGUAACGACUGGAUGUUUUUUUUAACAGGACAACGCUACACAGUGUUGGGAAGGUUACUUUUAAAAUGUACUCCACUACAGAUCACAGAAUACAUGGCCCAAAAUAUAUUUUAUAACGUAUUCCGUUAGUUACUCAAUGAGAGUAACGUAUUCUAAAUACUUUGGAUUACUUAAUAUAUUGUCAUGCUUUUUACAACUACUUUUUUCUUAAAUAAAUCUACUACAUCAUG